Long non-coding RNA from Ctenopharyngodon idella (grass carp), 1874 nucleotides. RefSeq lists it as uncharacterized. The transcript has 2 exons. The record is from RefSeq and is a predicted model, not a curated record. Lineage: Eukaryota; Metazoa; Chordata; Actinopteri; Cypriniformes; Xenocyprididae.
UUAAGAUAUUUCAGCCAAAUUUGCUUUCAGUUAAAACAGCUCAAAUGUGCAUUUUAGUCUGGGAUUAUGCUUAAGCCUUGUCUGUGAAACCAUGUGUUUAUCAUUAUGGUUUAAGUAAAAACCACAGUUUUAUUACUGAAACCACAGUCAAAGGUCUGAUGUAAGAGCUGAGAUCAAACCACCAUAUAAACCAACAACCAGAAACUAGCAUUAGAAAAACAGAAGAAAGAGCAAAAACACAGACAGAAUGAGAGAAGAAAUCAACCAAGUUUGCUUAAGUCUGGAGCACAGUGCUGUAUAGAAAUCUCAUGAAUAUAUCUAGCUGGAUAUCGCAGAGAUCAAAGAGAGACUACAAUAUGGAAUAUCAUCCAUUUUACUGGAAGCAAGAAGCUAAACAACUGGAGAUGAGGGUCAGAUUUUCCAUCUUCACCAUCAUUUGUGCGUGCGCAUGUCUUCCAGCUCUUGCUUGGUCUGUCAGCGAUCUAAUUCAUCACAGAAAGAAUGGACACCGUAUUUCAGCCUUCAUCAUCCUCCUCCUCCUCACUGACUUUGUUGAGCUUCUCUUGAGUCCUUACAUACUGAUAAAAUAUCUCUUAAAUGAGAUCUCCUGGUAUACAGAUUGGGCAUGGAGGGUUGUGUAUUCUUUAUGGUUGUCGUCAAGAGACUAUGGUCUCCUCUUAAACCAGCUGGUGGCGCUAGAGGGAAUUCUCUCAGUGAGAUUUCCACUGUAUACUGCUUCUGUUUUCUCUUCACCUUAUUUCAUAAUUUUCUACAUACUCGUGUUUCUCUGUAUCAUUAUCAGUGAGAUUUCGUUGUUGCAUGAAUAUUAUUUCUUUAUUAAUCUUUCUAUGUUCAUUGUGUCUUUGAUCACAUGGAUAAUAUCCUGUAGAGCUUCAUGUUCUGCUGAACAUCGCUCUCACACAUCAAAACUAGAUCAUCAUAUUUUGGUUGUUUUCAUAUUCAAUCUGCUGGUGUUUUACCUGCCCUUCAUUGUACUCUUCAUUCCUCCACAAAAGCUUCUUCCAGUUUGGUAUAUUCCUGUGUUCUUUGUGAGUGUGAGAUUGAUUUCAGACCCGCUCCUGUGUGUGCUGGUCUGCAGGCAGAAUCUCAGUAUUCAGACAUCACAAACACCUGAAGGGACUAGUUUAGUCUGUGGAGGUCUGAUAAGAUGGGCUGUUUGUGAUGUAAUGAUAUUUUGACUAUAAAAUUAGAUAUUUUGAAAUUACUGCUGUCAAUCGAUAAAACAAAUUAACUAAUUAAUCACAUUUUUUCUGUACAAUUUACAAUUGCAUUAGAAUCUCCAAAUUAAUGCAGCUAAAGAAGUAUGUUUUAAAUAUUUGUAGUACAUAAGUACUAUGACUGAAGGCAAUUUCAAUACUGACGCCUCUAUUAAAUGGAUUUUUAUUUUUCAAUUUCUAGAGGUGAAAUUGGUAAUUAUAGCAUUUUUAUGUUUAUCAUUUAUUAACAAUUUGUCACGUCUGCUGUUUUGUGUUUCUUAUGCUGCCUUCACAUGCUCUCUGAAUUAUCGUAAAUACGAGUUUCCUUGGUAAAAAUUGCACAUGAACGCCCUCCCAUUUUGAAAGUUGAAUGCGAUGAGCUUGUAAUCACAACUUCAGAAGUGGGAAUUAUCAAAUUUCCAACAGCACAUGAAGGCAGCAUUAGUUUGACCUAGUUUCUGUCUGUCAGUCUGUUAAUUAUGUAAUUAGUUUCUACCUGUGAUCAUUAACUCGCUCAUUAGUUCCUUUGUUUGGUCAGUGUAUUUAUACCUUGUGUUCUCCCUCAGUCUUUGUCCAUUCUCGUUAAUGUAACUGUGUAUUCUCCUGUGUUUAUCCUGUUCCUGCUUUUUUGCUAUUAAAGCCUAUCCCCUAAUAUUA